CGGGGUAUGGUGUAGUGGUAGCACACAUGCUUUGGGAGCAUGUAGCCCCAGUUCAAAUCUGGGUAUCCCGA
Molecule: transfer RNA, 71 nt
Filed under: Candidatus Woesebacteria bacterium RBG_16_41_13
Lineage: Bacteria; Candidatus Woeseibacteriota
Description: tRNA-Pro
Rfam family: tRNA
About the family: Transfer RNA (tRNA) molecules are approximately 80 nucleotides in length.
Source: RNAcentral